AGAGUUUGAUCAUGGCUCAGGACGAACGCUGGCGGCGUGCUUAACACAUGCAAGUCGAACGGAAAGGCCCUUCGGGGUACUCGAGUGGCGAACGGGUGAGUAACACGUGGGUGAUCUGCCCUGCACUUUGGGAUAAGCCUGGGAAACUGGGUCUAAUACCGAAUAUGACCAUGCACUUCCUGGUGUGUGGUGGAAAGCUUUUGCGGUGUGGGAUGGGCCCGCGGCCUAUCAGCUUGUUGGUGGGGUAAUGGCCUACCAAGGCGACAACGGGUAGCCGGCCUGAGAGGGUGACCGGCCACACUGGGACUGAGAUACGGCCCAGACUCCUACGGGAGGCAGCAGUGGGGAAUAUUGCACAAUGGGCGCAAGCCUGAUGCAGCGACGCCGCGUGAGGGACGACGGCCUUCGGGUUGUAAACCUCUUUCAGCACAGACGAAGCGCAAGUGACGGUAUGUGCAGAAGAAGGACCGGCCAACUACGUGCCAGCAGCCGCGGUAAUACGUAGGGUCCGAGCGUUGUCCGGAAUUACUGGGCGUAAAGAGCUCGUAGGUGGUUUGUCGCGUUGUUCGUGAAAACUCACAGCUUAACUGUGGGCGUGCGGGCGAUACGGGCAGACUUGAGUACUGCAGGGGAGACUGGAAUUCCUGGUGUAGCGGUGGAAUGCGCAGAUAUCAGGAGGAACACCGGUGGCGAAGGCGGGUCUCUGGGCAGUAACUGACGCUGAGGAGCGAAAGCGUGGGGAGCGAACAGGAUUAGAUACCCUGGUAGUCCAA
RNAcentral lists this ribosomal RNA (773 nucleotides) under uncultured bacterium. RNAcentral describes it as "bacterial SSU rRNA". It matches the Rfam family "Bacterial small subunit ribosomal RNA", at positions 8 to 798 of the family's 1533-position model. The record is from RNAcentral.